This is a long non-coding RNA of Pristis pectinata (smalltooth sawfish), 520 nucleotides long. RefSeq lists it as uncharacterized. The record is from RefSeq and is a predicted model, not a curated record. The transcript is spliced from 2 exons. Lineage: Eukaryota; Metazoa; Chordata; Chondrichthyes; Rhinopristiformes; Pristidae.
GCGCCUCCACGGCCUCAGUGUAACCGCGGGCGGCGGCCCGGCCGGUGACCGGUGACCCCGGGACAGCUGCAGGCGCCGAGCGGGAGUCACGGACCUGGACAUAAUUAGUCAUUGCCCAGAAAGCGGAUUAAAGGCUUCGGGUUACGCGGUGAUGGGUGGAGAGCAGAGCAACAAUCUCAGAGGAACAACCCCGAGAGAGGGGAUUCCAGUAAAGGAAAAGGAGGCAGCAGUUCCAUCCAACCCAUCAGAGCCAGUGGAGGGUGCCACUGUUCCCCAGACACGCAUUGGCAACAAGACAGUUGAUGACAUGUGCUUCAUGAUUGUUUGCACUAACUGGUACUGAGGCAGGGGGAAGAGGAGAGGCAGUGUGGAGCUGCAGAGAAUGCACCGUCAACGAUACAGGGAGAAGACCUGAGAGAUUGUGCUAUUUUCACCACAUCACAUGCAGCUUUUGCAAAUACCUGUAUCUAAUAUUUCUGUUAUUAGUUUGACCAUCUGUUAAUAAAAGGGGAAGACUUAC